This 272-nucleotide ribosomal RNA is filed under the name uncultured bacterium. RNAcentral's name for it is "partial 16S ribosomal RNA". It matches the Rfam family "Bacterial small subunit ribosomal RNA", at positions 86 to 354 of the family's 1533-position model. The record is from RNAcentral.
CGCCGGCGACCGGCGCACGGGUGAGUAACACGUAUGCAACCUGGCCGUGACAGAUGGAUAACCGGGAGAAAUCCCGCCUAAUACAGCAUGACGCCGGGAAGGGACAUCCCUUUCCGGCCAAAGGGGGCGACUCCGGUCACGGAUGGGCAUGCGGCGCAUUAGGUAGUUGGUGGGGCAACGGCCCACCAAGCCGACGAUGCGUAGGGGUUCUGAGAGGAAGGUCCCCCACAUUGGAACUGAGACACGGUCCAAACCCCUACGGGAGGCAGCAG